RNAcentral lists this long non-coding RNA (3971 nucleotides) under Homo sapiens (human). Its description in RNAcentral is "non-protein coding lnc-EPSTI1-3:3". The record is from RNAcentral. Lineage: Eukaryota; Metazoa; Chordata; Mammalia; Primates; Hominidae.
GGAAAUGUUAUUGUUACCCUACAGACUCAAGCUGAGUGGAGACACACACUGAACAGAUGACAUGCCAGCCAAACUUGCCCCAAAAGUUGGGGAGGGAAAUGGUGCUCAACUGAAGGCAGCUGCUCUUGGGAGAGUCUUGACAGAGACCUCUGCAGCGAUAGUGCCUGGCAUCAGUGAUUGACGGGGAGCCAUCUGAUCAACUUUUGUUUCUGAAGGAAAACCCUGAGGAAACUCACUACCAUCCUCAGUGGCUGGUGGAUGGAUAAAGAGGUGGAAAGCAAGUUGUGUGUAGAGUGAGCAGAAACUAUGAAGAGCCAUGAGCAGUUCCGGGGGAGCAGCUGCGAGCAUCAUGGAAGGCCUCUGCCCUGUCGGAGAAGCCGGGAUCCUCUUCAGCUUGGACACUACAUCAGUGACACUGGCAUCUCCCCCAUGCCAGGUGUCCAGAUUAAUCAGGAGACCAUUGUAGAUGAGGCAUCGCUCUAGGACCUGGUACCUGCUUGUGCUUUGUCCAGAACUGAGCUCAGAACUUGCCCAGUUCUACCACAUGUCUGAAAACUUCUUCCUUCCUGUCCACAUCAUUCCGUAGUUGUCUCUGAGAUAUGUCUAUUUACAAGAAGAUACUCUGAAAAGGGCCAAGUCAGAAAUGACAUCUUGAUGUAUCCAGCCAGCCAGCAGUCUCAGUAGCCACUAAAAAAUUAGGUCAGUAGUUAAAAAUACUUUUACAAAGAAAAGCCCAGGCUUGGAUAGUUUUAUAAGAAUUACACCAAACAUUCAAGGAAUAGUUAAUAGUUCAUUCAAAUCUUAUACAAAUUCUUUCAGAUAAUAAAAAAAGAAAAAGAAAAACUCCUUAGCAAAUAUGUGAGAUAAAUAUAAACACAAUAUGAAAUUCACAUAGAGAUAAUUCGAGACAGGAAAAAUGAUUUACUCAUGAACAUAAAUGCAAAAAUCCUUUAAAAAUAUUGGCAAACUGAAUCCAAGAAUAUGUGAAAAAUAUAACACACCAUGAUAAAUUUGCAUCAUCCUAUAAAUGCAAAAUAUAUUUUGUAUUAAAAAAUCUAGUUUAGUUCAUGAAAUUAACAAAUUAAAUAAUUAUUUCAAUACUAUUAGAUAAACUUUAAACAUAUGUGGUCUCCUAGCUCUCCAAAGACCUCAUACUAAAAUAAUAGUUCUUCUUAAUAGAAGGAGCAAGGAAUUAUUGUUCCCAAAUGUUUUUACACACCUCCCCGCUAUGAGAGAAGUGUACUUCCUGGUUGGCUGACAUCCAGCCUGGGCCAUGUGACUUGCUCUGCCAGGAGUAGCAGGAAAGCAGAAAUGAUGUCUAUUAAGUCUUGAAAGAGGCUUUAAGAGCUAAUACACUCUUCUCCCACAUCCCCUCCUCAAGGGUCUCACUCCUAAAUAAAUGUUACUUUUUCAACUUCCAUCCCAGAAUAAAAAAGCAUGUGGAGCAGAAAUGGAACAGAGUAGAGGCCAGCUCAGUUUCCAUGUUAUAAAACCAAAUAGACAUCUUUGUUGCAGUAAGCCCCCAUGAUCUGGAUGUUGUUUGCUAUCACAAUAUAACUUACUCUGUGAUGAUUGCUAUUUUAAAAAGAGUACCUACCAAAAAUUUGUAGCGCAAACCAUACUUACUAAUAAAAAAUUAACCUUACUCCCUUUAAAAUAAAAAACAACAGUGAUGCCUUUGAUUCAACAUUGUGCAGUAAGAUAAGGAAAAAUAAAAUGUAGGAAUUAUAAAAGGAAAUACUAAGCUUUGGUUAUUUGCAGGUAAUAUGAUUGUUUAUAUAGAAACUCCUCAAGAAUAUGGACAUAAUUUAACAAAACAGAGCACCUAAAAUACCAACAAAAUCAUAAUACAUCCAGGAAUAAAUCUAACAAAAUUUGUGCAAGACUUCUUUGAAAUUAUAUAUGUUAUUAAAAUACAUUAAAGUAAACGUAAAUAAAUGCAUAUAUUAUUUAUCUAUUUAUUUAUUUAUUAUUAUUAUUUUUUUUUGAGAUGAGGUCUCACUAUGUUGCCCAGGUUGGUCUCGAACUCCUGGGCUCAAGUGAUCUGUUCACCUUGGCCUCCCAAAAUGCUGGGAUUACAAGCAUGAGCCACCACACCUGGCCUUAUAUUUAUUUUGUAUACAUAUAAUAUUUGUGAUAGAAGGACACAAUAUAUUAAAAGUUUGGUCAUUCUCUUCAAAUUGCUCUAUAAAUAAAAUGCAAUUCCUUUCAAAUUCAAUCCAGAGCUGUUUGCAGAACUUGAUAAGCAGAUUCUAAAAUUUUUAUGGAAAAAUGAAGCACAAGAAUAGCUGAAACACCCCUGUAGAGGAUGAACAGGAUGAGGCGAGCUGUUUUGCCAGUUUUCAUUGCCCUGUGUAUAUAAUAAAGCUUUGAUUAAUUAAGAGAGCAUAAUAUGGCACAGGAACAUAGGAUAGACCAGUGGAUCAGCACAGAGCGUGUAGAAACAAGCCCACACAUAAAAUGAAAUCUAGUAUAUAACUGGAAUGUCACUGCGGAUCAGUAAGAAUGGGUUGCUCAAUAAAUGAUGCUAUGAUCAUUUGUUUUCUAUAUGGACAACAACAACACAAAAAAGAAUACACAAAAAUAAAUAAAAGGGAAAAAGAUUUAGAUAUGGAAACCACAAACUUAAGACUUUGGGGAAAAAUAUAGAAUAUUUCUAUGAUCUUGGAGCAGGAAAAAAAUGAUGAAAACAAGACCCGAAAAGCACAAAUAUAAAUGAAAAGAUAAGAAAGUUAACUGAGUUAAAAUUAAUAACACUUCUUAAUCAAAAGAUUCCUAAAUGCAAAGAUAAGCAAAAAGGAAAAGUCUGCCUCCCCCAAAAGCAGUGGUAAAACAUAGGAAUAAACACUUCACAGAAGAGUCAGCCCAAAUAGCUAUUAAAUAAAUGAAAAAUGUUCAACCUUUUAAAUAAUGAAGAUGUUGCAAGAUAAAACCACAAUAAGUUAAAGUUUUAUACUAAAAUGUUGGUAAGGAUGGAGAUCACUGCAAAACAAACUGUAUAUAUAUAUAUAUAUAUAUAUAUAUAUAUAUAUAUAUAUAUAUAUAUAUAUAUGCUAUGUAGCUUUCUACAACCACUCUGUAUAACAAUUUGGUCAUAGUAAAGUAAAAAUAUGCAUAUCCUAUGACCAGGAAAUCUCACACACACACACACACAAAAUGCACAUGCUUAUGUGUACACACAAUCCCUAAAAAUACCCUUGAACAGGGGCACCCAGAGAUAUGUACAAGUAUAUUCAUAGAACCAUUAUGUGUGCUUAGCUACUAUUACAACCAUUAACACGGUUGAAGCCCGCAAACAAAAAAUUAAUGAAAAAGCAAGAUGCAGGAUACACAUACUAUGGUUUAUAUAAAGAUCAAAAAAUAACAAAAGUAUACUGCAUAUGGUUGAGAAUAGCCAGGGCUGACUAUAUAAUUUUUAGGCUCAGGGCAAAAUGAAAAUGUGGGAUCCCUUUGUUCCAAAAGCAGGGGAAAAGCUUUUAUCUUUCUUUCAUGGUCUAUCUCUGUAGGAUAAUGGCCAUAGUAUCUUGAUAAUUCAUAGAAAAAAAAACUAUAUUAACUCUAAACAUUUGAAAAAGCACUCAACUUACAAAAUACACAAAGAAACCAUUUUUAACCCAUUGGAUUGACAAAUAGAAAAAAUUGAUAACACACUCUCUUACCAAGACACUCUCAAAUAGUGCUAAUGGAGAAAUGAAAGGACACAGCCAUUUUCAAUAAUAAUUUGUCAAUAUCUUUCAAAAUUUCACAUCAAAUACUCUUUGAUUCUAUGGGAACUUCUCCUAUAUGUUUGAAAUUAUACAUGUAAAAGGAUGUUAAUUGCAGCAUUUUAUAAUUCCAAAAGAUUGGAAAUACCCUAACUAGCCUAAAGCAAGAGAGAGGUCAUAUCUGGGUCUUUGGAAGGAUAAUGGAAUGAUAUGUUAUGCAACCAUUAAAAUAUUGAGGUAGGUCUGUCUGUGCUAAUAAAUGAUCAC